GAUGAACGCUAGCGGCAGGCCUAAUACAUGCAAGUCGAACGGAUAUAUGUUUUUCGGAAUAUAUAUUAGUGGCGCACGGGUGAGUAACACGUACAUAACUUGCCCUCAAGCGGGGGAUAGCCUUGGGAAACUGAGAGUAAUACCCCAUAGAAUUAUUGGACGGCAUCGUUUGAUAAUUAAAACUACGGUGUUUGGGGAUAGAUGUGCGUCUGAUUAGCUAGUUGGUGAGGUAACUGCUCACCAAGGCGACGAUCAGUAGGGGGCGUGAGAGCGUGGCCCCCCACACGGGUACUGAGACACGGACCCGACUCCUACGGGAGGCAGCAGUAAGGAAUAUUGGUCAAUGGAGGGAACUCUGAACCAGCCAUGCCGCGUGAAGGAUGACGGCCCCCUGGGUUGUAAACUUCUUUUGGAUGGGGCGAAAAAACGGGAUUUAUCCUGGACUGACGGUACCAUCAGAAUAAGCACCGGCUAACUCCGUGCCAGCAGCCGCGGUAAAGUAGUCGUG
This 508-nucleotide ribosomal RNA is filed under the name uncultured bacterium. RNAcentral describes it as "bacterial SSU rRNA". It matches the Rfam family "Bacterial small subunit ribosomal RNA", at positions 28 to 534 of the family's 1533-position model. The record is from RNAcentral.